Molecule: ribosomal RNA, 312 nt
Filed under: Eupsophus vertebralis (Valdivia ground frog)
Lineage: Eukaryota; Metazoa; Chordata; Amphibia; Anura; Alsodidae
Description: partial 12S ribosomal RNA
Rfam family: Bacterial small subunit ribosomal RNA
Source: RNAcentral
CGCCCGAGAACUACGAGCAAAGCUUAAAACUCAAAGGACUUGACGGUACCCCAUAUCCCCCUAGAGGAGCCUGUCCUAUAAUUGAUAACCCCCGUUUAACCUCACCAUUUUUAGCAAAUCAGUCUGUAUACCUCCGUCGUCAGCUUACCCCGUGAGCGAAACUUAGUGAGCUUAAUGCUAUUACACCAAUACGUCAGGUCAAGGUGCAGCAAAUGAAAUGGAAAGAGAUGGGCUACACUUUCUAACAUAGAAUACACGAAAGACUAUUUAUGAAACCUAGUCGGAAGGCGGAUUUAGCAGUAAAAAGAAAUC